RNAcentral lists this ribosomal RNA (305 nucleotides) under Armadillidium vulgare (common pillbug). Its description in RNAcentral is "partial large subunit ribosomal RNA". The record is from RNAcentral. Lineage: Eukaryota; Metazoa; Arthropoda; Malacostraca; Isopoda; Armadillidiidae.
UAUUCUGACUGUGCUAAGGUAGCAUAAUCAUUUGUUAUUUAAUUUGUAACUAGAAUGAACGGCCUGACAAAAGAAUAACUUUUUUAUUUUUUUUUUAUUAAAUUAAUUUAAGAAUAAAAAAGUUCUUAUAAAUUAGAAAGACGAUAAGACCCUAAAACCUUAUAUAUAAAUAUUUACUGGGGCGGUAAUUUAUACUCCAUAGAUUAAAAUAACAUGAUGAGUGAUAUUAUCUAUUUGAUUAAUACAAAAAGGUACUUUAGGGAUAACAGCAUAAUUUUUAUUUAGAGUCCUUAUCGACAUAAAAG